Molecule: ribosomal RNA, 1540 nt
Filed under: Escherichia coli
Lineage: Bacteria; Pseudomonadati; Pseudomonadota; Gammaproteobacteria; Enterobacterales; Enterobacteriaceae
Description: partial 23S ribosomal RNA
Rfam family: Bacterial large subunit ribosomal RNA
Source: RNAcentral
CUGGAGGUAUCAGAAGUGCGAAUGCUGACAUAAGUAACGAUAAAGCGGGUGAAAAGCCCGCUCGCCGGAAGACCAAGGGUUCCUGUCCAACGUUAAUCGGGGCAGGGUGAGUCGACCCCUAAGGCGAGGCCGAAAGGCGUAGUCGAUGGGAAACAGGUUAAUAUUCCUGUACUUGGUGUUACUGCGAAGGGGGGACGGAGAAGGCUAUGUUGGCCGGGCGACGGUUGUCCCGGUUUAAGCGUGUAGGCUGGUUUUCCAGGCAAAUCCGGAAAAUCAAGGCUGAGGCGUGAUGACGAGGCACUACGGUGCUGAAGCAACAAAUGCCCUGCUUCCAGGAAAAGCCUCUAAGCAUCAGGUAACAUCAAAUCGUACCCCAAACCGACACAGGUGGUCAGGUAGAGAAUACCAAGGCGCUUGAGAGAACUCGGGUGAAGGAACUAGGCAAAAUGGUGCCGUAACUUCGGGAGAAGGCACGCUGAUAUGUAGGUGAAGUCCCUUGCGGAUGGAGCUGAAAUCAGUCGAAGAUACCAGCUGGCUGCAACUGUUUAUUAAAAACACAGCACUGUGCAAACACGAAAGUGGACGUAUACGGUGUGACGCCUGCCCGGUGCCGGAAGGUUAAUUGAUGGGGUCAGCGCAAGCGAAGCUCUUGAUCGAAGCCCCGGUAAACGGCGGCCGUAACUAUAACGGUCCUAAGGUAGCGAAAUUCCUUGUCGGGUAAGUUCCGACCUGCACGAAUGGCGUAAUGAUGGCCAGGCUGUCUCCACCCGAGACUCAGUGAAAUUGAACUCGCUGUGAAGAUGCAGUGUACCCGCGGCAAGACGGAAAGACCCCGUGAACCUUUACUAUAGCUUGACACUGAACAUUGAGCCUUGAUGUGUAGGAUAGGUGGGAGGCUUAGAAGUGUGGACGCCAGUCUGCAUGGAGCCGACCUUGAAAUACCACCCUUUAAUGUUUGAUGUUCUAACGUUGACCCGUAAUCCGGGUUGCGGACAGUGUCUGGUGGGUAGUUUGACUGGGGCGGUCUCCUCCUAAAGAGUAACGGAGGAGCACGAAGGUUGGCUAAUCCUGGUCGGACAUCAGGAGGUUAGUGCAAUGGCAUAAGCCAGCUUGACUGCGAGCGUGACGGCGCGAGCAGGUGCGAAAGCAGGUCAUAGUGAUCCGGUGGUUCUGAAUGGAAGGGCCAUCGCUCAACGGAUAAAAGGUACUCCGGGGAUAACAGGCUGAUACCGCCCAAGAGUUCAUAUCGACGGCGGUGUUUGGCACCUCGAUGUCGGCUCAUCACAUCCUGGGGCUGAAGUAGGUCCCAAGGGUAUGGCUGUUCGCCAUUUAAAGUGGUACGCGAGCUGGGUUUAGAACGUCGUGAGACAGUUCGGUCCCUAUCUGCCGUGGGCGCUGGAGAACUGAGGGGGGCUGCUCCUAGUACGAGAGGACCGGAGUGGACGCAUCACUGGUGUUCGGGUUGUCAUGCCAAUGGCACUGCCCGGUAGCUAAAUGCGGAAGAGAUAAGUGCUGAAAGCAUCUAAGCACGAAACUUGCC